GACGAACGCUGGCGGCGUGCCUAAUACAUGCAAGUUGAGCGCUGAAGGUUGGUACUUGUACCAACUGGAUGAGCAGCGAACGGGUGAGUAACGCGUGGGGAAUCUGCCUUUGAGCGGGGGACAACAUUUGGAAACGAAUGCUAAUACCGCAUAAAAACUUUAAACACAAGUUUUAAGUUUGAAAGAUGCAAUUGCAUCACUCAAAGAUGAUCCCGCGUUGUAUUAGCUAGUUGGUGAGGUAAAGGCUCACCAAGGCGAUGAUACAUAGCCGACCUGAGAGGGUGAUCGGCCACAUUGGGACUGAGACACGGCCCAAACUCCCACGGGAGGCAGCAGUAGGGAAUCUUCGGCAAUGGACGAAAGUCUGACCGAGCAACGCCGCGUGAGUGAAGAAGGUUUUCGGAUCGUAAAACUCUGUUGGUAGAGAAGAACGUUGGUGAGAGUGGAAAGCUCAUCAAGUGACGGUAACUACCCAGAAAGGGACGGCUAACUACGUG
Molecule: ribosomal RNA, 497 nt
Filed under: uncultured bacterium
Lineage: Bacteria
Description: partial 16S ribosomal RNA
Rfam family: Bacterial small subunit ribosomal RNA
Source: RNAcentral